Molecule: ribosomal RNA, 497 nt
Filed under: uncultured bacterium
Lineage: Bacteria
Description: partial 16S ribosomal RNA
Rfam family: Bacterial small subunit ribosomal RNA
Source: RNAcentral
GAUGAACGCUGGCGGCGUGCCUAAUACAUGCAAGUCGAGCGAACAGACGAGGAGCUUGCUCCUCUGACGUUAGCGGCGGAAGGGUGAGUAACACGUGGAUAACCUACCUAUAAGACUGGGAUAACUUCGGGAAACCGGAGCUAAUACCGGAUAAUAUAUUGAACCGCAUGGUUCAAUAGUGAAAGACGGUUUUGCUGUCACUUAUAGAUGGAUCCGCGCCGCAUUAGCUAGUUGGUAAGGUAACGGCUUGCCAAGGGAACGAUGCGUAGCCGACCUGAGAGGGGGCUCGGCCACCCGGGAACUGGGAAACGGUCCAGACUCCUACGGGAGGCAGCAGUAGGGAAUCUUCCGCAGUGGGCGCAAGCCCGACGGAGCACCGCCGCGUGCGUGAUGAAGGUCUUCGGCUCGUAAAACUCUGUUAGUAGGGAAGAACAAAUGUGUACGUAACUAUGCCCGUCUUGACGGUACCUAAUCAGAAAGCCACGGCUAACUACGUG